This 253-nucleotide ribosomal RNA is filed under the name uncultured bacterium. Its description in RNAcentral is "partial 16S ribosomal RNA". It matches the Rfam family "Bacterial small subunit ribosomal RNA", at positions 524 to 776 of the family's 1533-position model. The record is from RNAcentral.
UACGUAGGGGGCAAGCGUUGUCCGGAAUCAUUGGGCGUAAAGCGCGCGUAGGCGGCCCGGUAAGUCCGUUGUGAAAGUCAAAGGCUCAACCUUUGAACGCCGAUGGAUACUGCCGGGCUAGAGUCCGGAAGAGGCGAGUGGAAUUCCUGGUGUAGCGGUGGAAUGCGCAGAUAUCAGGAGGAACACCAAUAGCGAAGGCAGCUCGCUGGGACGGUACUGACGCUGAGGCGCGGAAGCGUGGGGAGCGAACAGG